UGCAUCUGAAACCUGACGAGGAUGAGAACCUCCGGGGGCAGGAGGUUCGACUCGAGCGCAGCGAGAGAACGUUGCGUCAGCAACGGCCCGCAGGGCGAGCCACGCAGUGGCGAGUCAUCCUCUAUCACCGACCA
This 134-nucleotide small RNA is filed under the name Salmonella enterica. Its description in RNAcentral is "RtT sRNA". It matches the Rfam family "RtT RNA". From Rfam's summary of the family: This family represents a bacterial cis-regulatory element known as RtT RNA. The exact function of RtT is unknown although it is thought that it may be involved in changing the cellular response in relation to amino acid starvation. RNAcentral also lists the same sequence under 1 other name. The record is from RNAcentral. Lineage: Bacteria; Pseudomonadati; Pseudomonadota; Gammaproteobacteria; Enterobacterales; Enterobacteriaceae.